GCCCCGGUAAACGGCGGCCGUAACUAUAACGGUCCUAAGGUAGCGAAAUUCCUUGUCGGGUAAGUUCCGACCUGCACGAAUGGCGUAAUGAUGGCCAGGCUGUCUCCACCCGAGACUCAGUGAAAUUGAACUCGCUGUGAAGAUGCAGUGUACCCGCGGCAAGACGGAAAGACCCCGUGAACCUUUACUAUAGCUUGACACUGAACACUGGUCCUUGAUGUGUAGGAUAGGUGGGAGGCUUUGAAGUGUGGACGCCAGUCUGCAUGGAGCCGUCCUUGAAAUACCACCCUUUAAUGGCUGGUGUUCUAACGUAGACCCGUGAUCCGGGUUGCGGACAGUGUCUGGUGGGUAGUUUGACUGGGGCGGUCUCCUCCCAAAGAGUAACGGAGGAGCACGAAGGUUAGCUAAUCCUGGUCGGACAUCAGGAGGUUAGUGCAAUGGCAUAAGCUAGCUUGACUGCGAGAGUGACGGCUCGAGCAGGUGCGAAAGCAGGUCAUAGUGAUCCGGUGGUUCUGAAUGGAAGGGCCAUCGCUCAACGGAUAAAAGGUACUCCGGGGAUAACAGGCUGAUACCGCCCAAGAGUUCAUAUCGACGGCGGUGUUUGGCACCUCGAUGUCGGCUCAUCACAUCCUGGGGCUGAAGUAGGUCCCAAGGGUAUGGCUGUUCGCCAUUUAAAGUGGUACGCGAGCUGGGUUUAGAACGUCGUGAGACAGUUCGGUCCCUAUCUGCCGUGGGCGCUGGAGAAUUGAGGGGGGCUGCUCCUAGUACGAGAGGACCGGAGUGGACGCAUCACUGGUGUU
RNAcentral lists this ribosomal RNA (800 nucleotides) under Enterobacter roggenkampii. Its description in RNAcentral is "partial 23S ribosomal RNA". It matches the Rfam family "Bacterial large subunit ribosomal RNA", at positions 1917 to 2716 of the family's 2925-position model. The record is from RNAcentral. Lineage: Bacteria; Pseudomonadati; Pseudomonadota; Gammaproteobacteria; Enterobacterales; Enterobacteriaceae.